This 640-nucleotide long non-coding RNA is filed under the name Phoenix dactylifera (date palm). RNAcentral's name for it is "long non-coding RNA (PDAC_LNC020135)". Lineage: Eukaryota; Viridiplantae; Streptophyta; Magnoliopsida; Arecales; Arecaceae. The record is from RNAcentral.
UGAGAAGCUCCGUCGAAGAUCUCUCAUCUUAAGAGGUAACGCCUACAACCCUAAGAAGAAUUUAGAUUACAUAUUGGGUUGAGUUUAGAUGCUUUAUUUUCUUUGCAUGCCUAGGAGUGAAGUUACUUCUUAUUACCUACAUUUUAUUUGAUGAACUUGAGAGGGGUAUAUUAGAAGUUAUUUUGCAUGCAAGUAGUGCUCAAAUUUCUGCAUUUAUCUUUCUUAUUUCAAAAAGAGGUGAGAGCACUUUUCUUGUGAAGGGAACGGAUUGAUUCCUCUAUCUUGCUCAUCAUAGGGAUGGUGCCAACGGGGAGGCUAAUGGUAGUACCCGGCACUAUUUGACCCAACUAUUCGGUGUAGGGUAUAUUAGGGACGGCACAAGAGGGAGGCUAGUGGUAGUACCUCGUGCCCUUUCCCAACUCCACCGGAUAGGGAGCAAAUAGAAUAUCAAGAUGUCUCUCUCGGGGGUGAGAGAUUUCUAAUUUGUAAACCCUUGUUGUAAUUGGAGAAGAUUGAGUGGUGUAUCUUUCAAAACCUAUAUAAGAAGGUGGGUCGGUUCAUCCCUUGGGUGACGGCCAAAGGAGGUUAGGAGUGGUGAUUUGGAGAACAAGAAAUUUUCAUGAAGUCCGGAGGGUUAAAG